RNAcentral lists this long non-coding RNA (1147 nucleotides) under Manihot esculenta (cassava). RNAcentral's name for it is "long non-coding RNA (MESC_LNC000741)". The record is from RNAcentral. Lineage: Eukaryota; Viridiplantae; Streptophyta; Magnoliopsida; Malpighiales; Euphorbiaceae.
CUGCUGGUAAGUUCCUCUCUGAGGGUUUCUAUUUCUUGCCCCAGCAUUGUUUUCUCAUCCUGCAAUCGAUCAGCCAAAGUUCUCAAAUCUUCAGUAGUCUUCUCUAUCUCUUCAAUUCUUCUCACAGCAGUCUCUUUCUCCAUGAGCAGGUUGUCUCUCUCUGUAGUCAUAUCUUCCAAUCUUGAAUUCUGUACCAAAAUUGACGAGGCAAGAGAUUUAUUUUCUUCCUCAGAAUGUGUCAAUUUUUGGCUUAAAUCUGACACUUGUAGCACUGCAGAUUCUAGUUGCUGCUUAAUACUGGCAACUUCUGCACUAAAAUUUUCUAGUUCUUGCUUGAGAAUUUCCUUUUCUUUCUCAGCAACUUCCAAACUGUGAUUAAGUUCUGAUACCAUCUGCUCUGUAAAUUCCAGUUGCUGCUUCCUGCUGGUAAGUUCCUCCCCAAGAGCUCCUAUUUCUUGCCCCAGCAUUGUUUUCUCAUCCUGCAAUCGAUCAGCCAAAGAUCUUAAGUCUUCAGUAGUCUUCUCUAUCUCUUCAAUUCUUCUCACAGCAGUCUCUUUCUCCAUGAGCAGGUUGGCUUUCUCUCUAGUCAUAUCUUCCAAUCUUGAAUUCUGUACCGAAACUGAUGAGGUAAGAGAUUUAUUUUCUUCCUCAUAAUGUGUCAAUUUUUGGCUUAAAUCUGAAACUUGCAGCUCUGCACAUUCUAAUUGCUGCUUCAAACUGGUGACUUCUGCUCUAAAACUUUCUAGCUCUUGCCCAAGAACUACCUUUUCUUUGUCAGCAACUUCCAAAGUGUGAUUAAGUUCUGAUACCAUCUUCUCUGUAGAUCCCAGUUGCUGCUGCCUGCUUGUAAGUUCCUCUCUAAGGGUUUCUAUUUCUUGCCUGAGCAUUGUUUUCUCAUCCUGCAAUUGAUCAGCCAAAGUUCUUAAGUCUUCAAUAGUCCUCUCUAUCUCUUCAAUUCUUCUCACAGCAGUCUCUUUCUCCAUGAGCAGGUUGUUUUUCUCUCUAGCCAUAUCUUCCAAUCUUGAAUUCUGUACCAAAACUGAAGAGGUAAGAGAUUUAUUUUCUUCCUCAGAAUGUGUCAAUUUUUGGCUUAUAUCUGACACUUGCAGCUCUGCAGAUUCUAGUUGCUGCUUCAUACUGGCGAUUU